UUGAUGGUCUUGGGGGACUAUCAUAGCCACCUUGGCCAUAUGGCUCAGGGAAACCAGGUCCAGAUGGAUAAGAGAAUUGACCAAAAUGUGGUCUAUUUUGUGGAGGUUGUUCAUACAUGUCAGGUUUCGGGGUGUAGAAUUGUGCGGGUGGUCCACCACGUGAGAUUUUAUUUGGAGUAUAGGAUGGAUUUUGUGGUAUGUAAGGCGGUGUUUCUUCAGAAUGAUGGGGAUAUGGAGGUUGGGUUUGCAUUGAGGGAGCAGGUGGUCCACUACGUGGGAUUUGAUUUGGGGUAUAGGAUGGAUUUUGUGGUACGUAAGGCGGUGUUUCUUCAGAAUGAUGGGGAUAUGGAGGUUGGGCUUGCAUUGAGGGAGCAGGUGGUCGGAAAUGCAGAACUUGUGACGGUGGUGGAUACUGUUGCUCUGGUGGUUGAAUUGGUGACUGGAAUUGAUAAUGAGCAUUCUCCUGCAUUUGAUUUUGUUGUGACAAAGGCUGAUGCUGAGGUGGUUGUGGUGGAAGCAGAGUAG
This 525-nucleotide long non-coding RNA is filed under the name Zostera marina. RNAcentral's name for it is "long non-coding RNA (ZMAR_LNC001934)". Lineage: Eukaryota; Viridiplantae; Streptophyta; Magnoliopsida; Alismatales; Zosteraceae. The record is from RNAcentral.